UUGUUUCAGGUUAUGACUUAUGAGAGUGAUCAUUUAGUUUGCCUCAUUCGAUCCUCUUGUUCUCUAACUUUCUCCGCUCAGUGUUCUCAAAUUAAAUAUCCAAUUUGUAAGUUGUUCUGAUCAUCACCAACCCUGCCAACUUGGGUUCAUUGUCAACAAACUGAGCUUAGCGUAUUCGGGUUGGCAGCUGCUGCCUUCAUCCACCUCCACUGAGUGGGAGCAACGAAAAUUUUGGUUGGGUCAUCUCAAUCGGUCGUGAAGUUAUGGACUCUGCUCUGUAUAUGAUUGAUUCUGAAGUUUCGGUUUGAAUUGAACAUUUGAAAAUAUCGAUUCUUUUCAUUGCAUAUGGUCUGAAGUUUGGGUUCUUCCCUUUCUGAUUGUUCUCAGGUUAAAACUUGAAUUUCAUUGCCAGCUCUGUGUAAAGCUUAUGGUAAGAACGUUCUUCUUAUUCUUCUUUAUUUGAGCCUCUGUAUUCUGUUCACAUCGCUGCUUAUGAUUGAUUGCGGUGGUGUUCCAUAUGACUUGGUUUCAGGUUGAGAAAGACCAAUAUUAAUGAGGUUUCUCUUAAAUGCUCGAGGCGACUUUGUAUAGUUCUAUUAGUCAGGCACUUUACAAAUGUAAGGAGGUCUGAAUUUAUCGACUUUGUUUCUCAUAACCCAUGUGGAUGUGGGAUGCUGUGAAGUGGUUGUCAGCUUCGCUUAUCGGCAUUGGGAUUUGUGGAUGCCCAGAAUAGUGAUCCAGACAACAUGAUUUUAAUAUUGGAUCUCUGUCAAGAGCUUAAGUUUUAGGGAGCCAAUGAUCCAAUCUGCUGUAGAACAAGCAUGGUCGGCGUUUCGAGGAGUCUUCAGCGUAGAAAAGCAACUGUACAAUCAGGGAAGAGAAGGGAUUGGUUUGAUAAUAGUCAGAUUGUCCCCAUUGACAAUAGUUAAAUAUGUGGCCCCUAUACUUUUCAUGUAUAGGUUUUUUGUUAUACAUAGAUAUAUAUUUAU
Molecule: long non-coding RNA, 989 nt
Organism: Argentina anserina (silverweed cinquefoil)
Lineage: Eukaryota; Viridiplantae; Streptophyta; Magnoliopsida; Rosales; Rosaceae
Exons: 6
Source: RefSeq, a predicted model, not a curated record